RNAcentral lists this ribosomal RNA (263 nucleotides) under uncultured bacterium. Its description in RNAcentral is "partial 16S ribosomal RNA". It matches the Rfam family "Bacterial small subunit ribosomal RNA", at positions 793 to 1055 of the family's 1533-position model. The record is from RNAcentral.
GUCCUUGCCGUAAACGAUGUAUACUUGGUGUAACCGGACUCAACCCUGGUUGUGCCGUAGCUAACGCGAUAAGUAUACCGCCUGAGGAGUACAGUCGCAAGGCUGAAACUCAAAAGAAUUGACGGGGACCCGCACAAGCAGUGGAGCAUGUGGUUUAAUUCGAUGCAACGCGAAGAACCUUACCCAGGCUUGACAUGCACAGGAAGAUAGCAGAGAUGUUAUCGCCCUUCGGGGCCUGUGCACAGGUGCUGCAUGGCUGUCGU